Molecule: transfer RNA, 62 nt
Filed under: Branchinecta paludosa
Lineage: Eukaryota; Metazoa; Arthropoda; Branchiopoda; Anostraca; Branchinectidae
Description: tRNA-Trp
Source: RNAcentral
AAAGUUUUAAGUUAAAAAAACUAUUAGCCUUCAAAGCUGAAAUUAAGAUUUCUUAGACUUUA